GUUGAACGCUGGCGGCAUGCUUUACACAUGCAAGUCGAACGGUAACAGGCCGCAAGGUGCUGACGAGUGGCGAACGGGUGAGUAAUGCAUCGGAACGUGCCCAGUCGUGGGGGAUAACUACUCGAAAGAGUAGCUAAUACCGCGUACGAUCUAUGGAUGAAAGCGGGGGACCGUAAGGCCUCGCGCGAUUGGAGCGGCCGAUGUCAGAUUAGGUAGUUGGUGGGGUAAAGGCUCACCAAGCCAACGAUCUGUAGCUGGUCUGAGAGGACGACCAGCCACACUGGGACUGAGACACGGCCCAGACUCCUACGGGAGGCAGCAGUGGGGAAUUUUGGACAAUGGGCGCAAGCCUGAUCCAGCAAUGCCGCGUGCAGGAAGAAGGCCUUCGGGUUGUAAACUGCUUUUGUACGGAACGAAACGGCUCUGGUUAAUACCCGGGGCUAAUGACGGUACCGUAAGAAUAAGCACCGGCUAACUACGUG
This 482-nucleotide ribosomal RNA is filed under the name uncultured bacterium. RNAcentral's name for it is "partial 16S ribosomal RNA". It matches the Rfam family "Bacterial small subunit ribosomal RNA", at positions 28 to 507 of the family's 1533-position model. The record is from RNAcentral.